Molecule: ribosomal RNA, 407 nt
Filed under: Staphylococcus aureus
Lineage: Bacteria; Bacillati; Bacillota; Bacilli; Caryophanales; Staphylococcaceae
Description: partial 23S ribosomal RNA
Rfam family: Bacterial large subunit ribosomal RNA
Source: RNAcentral
GAUUAAGUUAUUAAGGGCGCACGGUGGAUGCCUUGGCACUAGAAGCCGAUGAAGGACGUUACUAACGACGAUAUGCUUUGGGGAGCUGUAAGUAAGCUUUGAUCCAGAGAUUUCCGAAUGGGGAAACCCAGCAUGAGUUAUGUCAUGUUAUCGAUAUGUGAAUACAUAGCAUAUCAGAAGGCACACCCGGAGAACUGAAACAUCUUAGUACCCGGAGGAAGAGAAAGAAAAUUCGAUUCCCUUAGUAGCGGCGAGCGAAACGGGAAGAGCCCAAACCAACAAGCUUGCUUGUUGGGGUUGUAGGACACUCUGUACGGAGUUACAAAGGACGACAUUAGACGAAUCAUCUGGAAAGAUGAAUCAAAGAAGGUAAUAAUCCUGUAGUCGAAAAUGUUGUCUCUCUUGAG